Molecule: long non-coding RNA, 1160 nt
Filed under: Marmota monax (woodchuck)
Lineage: Eukaryota; Metazoa; Chordata; Mammalia; Rodentia; Sciuridae
Source: RNAcentral
CAGUUGUGACUGUCCUGUUUUCUGUGGCUCCACCUUUCUGGUCCUUCUUAGAGCAGGCGAUUUCUUGCUUCAUGAAAAGUGAGGGGAGGAUUGGGGUCCCAAAGGAGGCCUUGCCAUAGUCGAUUGCCUUGUCAUUUUCUGCACGAGGUGUGCAUGACCUAUGCGAAUAUCUGGAGACCAAGAAAUGCCCCAGGACAGUCCCACUGUAAACAUGAGCCAGAGCUUCAUGGAAGGAACCUAGAGGGCAAGUCACUAGAACCUUCCCAGGAGGGGAUGCCAAUCCUCUGAAGGGAUGUGAGCUGGACACACUGGCUCUGCCCAGGGCAAUCCCUGCUGCAGUCUGGCUGGGCACAAAAUCGCGAGCCACUCAAGCAGGAACAAACUUUAUUUUUUAAAUUCCCCUCCAAUGCCCUGUGCUCCCGGGAAAAAAAUGCCAACCGACACACGCAGCGUUCUCCCGGACACACCAACAGGAUAUCCCUCCUAUGAAAUUCCCUCCUACUGCACUUCCCCAACCAAUGGGAACUACCCAGGAGUCCCUUAGUAGGCCUGCGUGGAGAGCAGGGGUCUAAUAUCCAUAUGAAUGCAGAUGUUAACAUAAUCAUAUCAUCUCAAUGGCUUGCUGGCGUCACCUUUCAACCCAAAAUGCCAUGCAUCAUACUACUUGGCUAUGGCUCUCAGCAUCUCCCCCUUCUGUUUAAUUAAACAACAAGCAAUGUGGCUUAGGGACCGUGCCUGUUAGGUUGUCCAAUUCAACAUAUGGUUCUUACCCGUCAUCGGAUGAGCUGACCUCUAGGCCUCAGCCUCCUGUCUUAGGUUGAUACCACUGCAAUUUGAUCAUACCCGUCACUGACUACUGGUCCAGCAUAUAGCCAUACUUGUGGAUAGGCCCAUGCACCAGUGGGGGGGUGAGGUUCUUUGCCUCACCUCCAUUAGCCCCCAAAUUUAGACCAUCACUAGUAGAAGGGAGGAGGAUACAGAAAUGCCACGACACCAAGCCAAUUGACGGCUCCUUUGGAAAAAUUGCAUCACUAGUGACACAUCAGAAAAGAUACGCCAGCACUACCAUAAUUCACUGCAUUAACAGAUAGUUCACAAUGCAUACAAGUGAUACAUAGUCCAGGCAAGUUCUGCAAGCAGUUCAAAGCAGAGGAAUCUAU